CCUACGGGUGGCUGCAGUAGGGAAUUUUGCGCAAUGGGGGAAACCCUGAUGCAGCGACGCCGCGUGAGUGAAGAAGUAAUUCGUUACGUAAAGCUUUAUCAGCAGGGAAGAAACACUGACCUUACGGUCAGCAGACGGUACCUGAGUAAGAAGCCCCGGCUAACUACGUGCCAGCAGCCGCGGUAAUACGUAGGGGGCAAGCGUUAUCCGGAUUUACUGGGUGUAAAGGGAGCGUAGAUGGUGCGCCAAGUCUGGCGUGAAAUGCCGCAGCUUAACUGCGGAACUGCUUUGGAAACUGGCGAACUAGAGUGCGGGAGGGGUAAGCGGAAUUCCUAGUGUAGCGGUGAAAUGCGUAGAUAUUAGGAGGAACACCGGUGGCGAAGGCGGCUUACUGGACCGUAACUGACGUUGAGGCUCGAAAGCGUGGGGAGCAAACAGGAUUAGAUACCCGAGUAGUC
RNAcentral lists this ribosomal RNA (458 nucleotides) under uncultured bacterium. Its description in RNAcentral is "partial 16S ribosomal RNA". It matches the Rfam family "Bacterial small subunit ribosomal RNA", at positions 338 to 795 of the family's 1533-position model. The record is from RNAcentral.